UACGUAGGGGGCUAGCGUUAUCCGGAAUUACUGGGCGUAAAGAGCUCGUAGGUGGUUUGUCGCGUUGUUCGUGAAAACUCACAGCUUAACUGUGGGCGUGCGGGCGAUACGGGCAGACUUGAGUACUGCAGGGGAGACUGGAAUUCCUGGUGUAGCGGUGGAAUGCGCAGAUAUCAGGAGGAACACCGGUGGCGAAGGCGGGUCUCUGGGCAGUAACUGACGCUGAGGAGCGAAAGCGUGGGGAGCGAACAGG
Molecule: ribosomal RNA, 253 nt
Filed under: uncultured bacterium
Lineage: Bacteria
Description: partial 16S ribosomal RNA
Rfam family: Bacterial small subunit ribosomal RNA
Source: RNAcentral